Amphiprion ocellaris (clown anemonefish) is the source of this 9335-nucleotide long non-coding RNA. RefSeq lists it as uncharacterized. The transcript has 4 exons. Lineage: Eukaryota; Metazoa; Chordata; Actinopteri; Pomacentridae. The record is from RefSeq and is a predicted model, not a curated record.
CGCCGGUAAGCUAACGGCUAACAAGCUGUAAACAACUCUCAGCUCCUGACCUACUUUUCUCCUGACAUAUAACCACUUCACCACAGCUUUUCGAUAUAAACGAUGCCAGGAUAAGACCACGUGGACCAGCCUUCACUCCCCAUGCACAUCAAUGAGCCUUGGGCGCUGUCGACCCUGUCACUGGUUCACUGCUUGUCCUUCCCACGGACCACUUUUGUUAACUGCUGCGUACCUGAAACACCCCACAAGAACUGCCACUUUGGAGAUGCUCUGUCCCAGUCAUCUCGCUGCCACAAUUCAGUCCUUGUCAAAGUGACUCAGAUCCUUACACAAUUCAUCCUGCUUCAGCUCCAAUAGCUCGCUGUUCAGUUUCUGCCUAAUAUAUUCUACCUUUUGCUAUUAUAACAAGAUAAUCAGUGUGCUAGUGGUUUUAAUGUUGUGGCUAAUUGUUGUACGUGUAACUUUAUCGUGCAUCAUAUUUGUUCAUUUUCACCCCUCAAACACCUUCUGUUCUCACCUACAACUUUCUUUCCAUCACCGGUGAGACUGAUAAAGCAUUGCUGCUUUUAAAACUAAGAAUAGACUAAUCACAGUAAAUUGAUCAGUUCAAGAAUCGCUGACAUACAGAGAAGAAGACGCAUUACUGCUGAGAAAAGUGUAAAAAUAAACCCAUCACACUGUUGUAGCGUGCUCAUCAGUAGGGGGUAAAUCUACCGGGACAUUUUGGCUCACAGAUAAUCAAACCCCCCAAAUAUUUUGUUGGAGUUGCUCAGUGUGUGACAAGUUUCUCUCAUCUGGACACACAACACCCAGCUAGCGAGAAUGUUUGUGUGAAUAAAUGCCUCCUUUGUUCUUUUUCAUUUUCUUGCUUUGCUUUGCUGAACGUAACUGUAAGGCAUGAUGCUAGCGUUCCUGUCAGUUUUAUUUCUUCUUCACGCUCUCUUGCUGCUCUGCAACUUUAUUCUCUUGUUGUUUUAUGAUUUCUUCAUCUUCUUUUUUUUCCCUUUUCAGUUCUUUUAAACAUUGACAGGUGCUUUAAAACAGAGUGAAAGCAGCCCUCAUCCAAAGGGAGGAUUCCAGGUGACAUUUCUGUAAUGACAGCUUAUACAUUACGUCUGACAAGCAGAUGGGUGAGUGACAUUUGGCAUUUGCUUGUUUUUAAGCAAAAAUAUGUUUUUCAUUCAGAGUAGAAUAAACCAUGACUGCCUGAAUUUAUUUUCUGUGAUACCUUUCAAUGUUAAUCUUUAAAUCCCACAAUUUCCCCAAAUUUAACAGGACAGAACUUUCCACAAUGUGUUUGUCGAUACAUUAUAAUUAAGUGACAGAACAAUCUAUUAAAAUAAUACCAUAAAAUAAAUAGUGCCAAAUAAGCAGGGAAAUACAGGGGACACACACAAAACUUCUUGCAACCACAGUUAGAGAAUGAAAUAUCAAGAAUGCAAUAAUCAGAGUAAUUUAACUGAUGACUUCUGCUAAUUGCUCACCUCCCCCUAACCUUUAUCUGAACUCCAUAUUUAUUCCAUCCUGUCCCAGAAGAAAUCCUAAUUGCUCACACAAUUUGCUCAUGAAUAUUCAAUGAAAUGCAGAUGCCACAUUGUAAUAAAUAAAAUAUAGAAACCCAGAGCAACAAACACGUUGUUUUGUCCCUCGAGAGAGAUGUAGAGUUCAUAUAAGCUCAAGGCUUUAGGCUCCAUAGUGGCUUAACGAUCGUGCAACACAACUAACAGAUCAACUGGGUGUCCUGAAAAAUUUGAAGGCAACCAUGGACAAAAUGAGGGAAAUUAUUGCCCCCUUCAAAACUUAAUGAGGUAAGUUUUACUCCUCCGCUGGCCUUAUGUAUGAUUUGUGGGGUAUUCGGUCAAAAGCUGUGACCUAGUCUCACAUUGGUUCAGCACCCCCUACUCAUUUUGUUGCUGCGACUGAAUCUGCCUCCUUCAAUUAAGAGCUCACGUCUCCUCCAGUCUUUUUUUGUGCUCCAUUAAAUUUCUAAUGAUCCUAUCCAGUUUGAAUUAAGAAUCCAAUAUAACUGUCAAAAACAGAUGUUUAUCUGCAUGAUCCUCAGUGAAAAAUGGCGUAAAAUGAUCCAAUAACUUCCUUCCAAAAGAAUAUUGUACAGUAACUUAGUAUUCCAAUGUUUCCCAGUUUUAUUGGCUCUGAGGUUGAGUGUUCAUACUGUUAUUAGUGAUGUAAAGAAAGCAGUUAAAGUAAUUUUACCAUAGUAUAUCCAUUUAGUGUUACUUCAUACUACACUUUUUAAUUGCAGAGAGAAAUAUGAUGUUUCUAAAAUAUCUAAUUAACCAGAUCUUCCUGACACAUUUGGCCUAUUUUAUAAAAGGACAAAUCUGGGGCUCCUUGUCAUGUUUCCAGUGUCCAUGAGUUGAUGCACCAAAGAGACAUUUAAGCCCCAAUCAGGUGAAAUGAUCAGAUAUAACUUUUUCUUUGUUCUUCUCCCGUUAAUUAUUUAGAAUCUCUCAGAUUUAGCUUAUGUUGGCAUCACCACCUGUAUCGGCCAAUAAAGCUUUAAAAUGAAAUAUUGGAACCAGGAUAAAAUGGACAGGAAGAUGAAGUUUGUCAGGCUGAAAGUUUACAGCUUAGUUUGAAAACGUAAUUCAAAACGAAAAAUAGCAUAUUUUACAUGUAAGUUAAAAUAAUUUUCCUAUUUUGCAAAGUAAAUGUGUGCAUUUGAAAAGCAUUUUAUUUUGUGUCUGCAUCCUCCUAUGGACCGUCACGAUAAGAGUAGGCAUAAUGAUGUUAAUCCCACAACAGGAUCGACUUUAUGUCCUUUGUAAAUAAGUGGAAAAAUAUGUGCAUUUAUCUGUAACAGCAUCCUUAGUGCUCCAUAGCCAGGCCAUUCUGCAGCAUAGACUGAUCUGGCCCCACUAUUAUCAUUCUGCCAUGUUCAGGCUUGUUUGUGUUUCUGUAAUCACAAACAUAUUCGGUGGAGCUGAGCCAGGGUGCAGCAACAGAUUUCCCUUUAAAAUGGAGACAGGUAAUUGUUUUAGUUGAACAUUUGCACACAGGGAGGUAAACAUUGUCAUUACAAUGGCUAUCUCACCAAAUAAAUAAAAUAAAUAGAUCUACCAGAGCUGCCGUACUGCACUGUUGAUAUUCUCUGUUUUUAUUUUUCAGUGUGGUAGAAUGCUGCUCUGAGUGUUUUUUGUUGUCGUAUUCCGUGGUGAAGGGGAUUUUGAAAGUAGUAACAUUUAGACCAGGAGUCACCAACCUUUUUGAACCUGAGAGCAACUUCAAGGGUACUGAGUAGUAUGAAGGGCACCUUGUUUGAUACACACUUCCUCAAUAGCAAACUUACGCCAUCAUCUUUAAAUAAUAAUAAUAUGAAAAUAAUAUGUAAAAAGACUGUCUGAUCACAUUUGUUAAUUAUUCCUCACAAUAAUUUUUAAACAACGAUUUCCACAACUAUUGAUGGUAGGAAACACACACACACACACACACACACACACACACACACACACACACACACACACACACACACACACCUAUAUAUGGAAAUCUGUUCCAAUAUUUAAAAGUCAGAGGUAUCCCAUCUCUGAAACUUUUGUAAAUAUCUUUCUUGGCAGUUUUGUAUGAAUCAGCAUGUUUGCAGCAUUUUGUUCAAAAUCACACCAGUUACAUUUCUGUGCAAAUGAUCACUUCUAACAUUUUUAGGAAAUCAUUAACUGUCAUCAAAUCAUGCUUCAUUUGUGCAAACCACUACCUUUGUAACAUUUUUGAACAAUUCAUGAACUCUGUCCCAUGUUUGUACAAAUUAUCAGUUAUGUAAGAAAAAAAAAUCAACUCUUUCACAUUUUGAAAUGAAUCCUAUCACAUCAGUACUAAUCACCAGCAUUUUUCACCAGCAUUGCAGCAUUUUUAACAAAUCAUAACAAAUCAUUACAUGUUUUCAACAAAUUAUUUUUCACAUAUUUGUGUAAUGGCACAGUGUUUUGAAUGACGUUUUACCUCUUUCUUUGUCUGUAAAUGUGUGUUAGUGGCACUGUUCCCUCUAAGCUGCGCGCGUGCGCAAUUGCGCACUGCUGACAUGGUCUCUGCACACAGAAAAUCUGCGCUGCGCACAAAAAAAAACAAAAAAAACCCCAAAUUGUAAAUAAAAUAAACACAUAAUUCGUUCUGUGCUAUUUUUCAAUGUGAGUCAGUGAGUGACCGGUGACUGGCUGCUGCAGCCAAUGAUGCGAUUCACAUACGUAUUUACCAUAGACUGUAUAUAAUGGUAUUUACGCAGCUAAUCAACGUCAGGCGUCCUUAUGUGCAGCCAUCGUUGUUGUCAUAGAUAUGAAUGAGUAGAUAGGACACGCCCCUUUGAGCUGCGUGCUACUGCGAGGCUAAGCUAGUGGGGGCAAAGUUUCAGUGCAUUCCGUUGAUGUAGACGGCGUUAAAACGGAAACAACAAGUAUACCGGCUCACUGCGCUGCUGUUACGGCCAGCGCUUCCUACCCUGUGUGUGUGUUUUAACCAUAUAUUGUGGCUAUGCAAAUAGAGCUGUGUGAUCCCCACUCCCUGGUUGGACCACGACGGCAGAGGCGUGACUGCAACCAGGAGUCCUGCGAUUGGUGCGGCGCUCACCAGGCUGACCAACCGAAAACUGCCAACUCUUUUAAAAGCGUUGGCAGUUCAACUGAACGAGGCAGCUGACUUCUAGCGUGUCAUUCUGUGUUUCUGUGUGGUUGAGGCAAGAUAGACUGUGUGGUAGGAAUUGGGCCAGGAUUAGUGUUAAAAACUGAUACAGCAACAUUUCAUUUCAUUACAGGUAGUUUUUGUUUGUCUAGUUUCACCAGGGUUAGGGGUGCUGACUCCCAUGUAGUUUUGUUUUGUGCCAGUUCCCAGGUAGUGAGCCUUUUUGUUUACUUUUUUCUUUUGUCCACAGCGAUUGUAUUGUAUUGUAGUGUAGUGUUAAGUUCUCCUUAUGAGAACUCUUCUUGUGUUUUGCUGUUUUCUUUAAUUUGAGCAGCACCCACCAGCCAUCUUCCUUAGUUUUGCCUCAUUUGUAUAAUACCUUGCACAUGUUUGUUCAAACUUUUCUAUAAUAAAUAAUUAGAUUUUUACCAACUACAACUGUUUAUGUUGCUUCCCUUCCCCCCCAAGCCGGGGUUGUAACAGCUGUAUACAAUUGCACACUGCGUCGUACGAUUGAGACAAGGAAACUUGGAAUGACUUUUCAUAGGUAAGAAUAGUUUUUGGCUCUUUUUUCAUUAUGAAAUCUUGUUGAGAGCUUCCAGUCUAUGAGAGCUAACUAGUUAGCCACUAGCAAACGCUAAGGCGAGCUAGCAGCUUGACAACCAAAUACCAGACGAUUAAUAGUAGCUGUAGUAUAGUUGUACAAGCAGUAGUAGUAAUACUAAAAGUACAAGCAGCAGUAGUAGUAUAAACAGCUGUUAGAGUCGUAGAAGUAGUAUCAGCAUUUGUAAUAGUAUUACAAGUUGUAGUAGCAGUGCCAGUAUCAGCAGCAGUAGUUAAUGUACUACCAUUACUACUAGUAGUAGUCACAUUGCUAUUACUACCACCAAUACUACCAAUAGUAAUAAUAAUAAUAAUAAUAAUAAUAAAUUUUAUUUAUAAAGCGCUUUUCCAAAAACUCAACUAGUAGUUCUAAAGCCUAACUCAUGUAUAUCCAGAUUACCAUCUAUGUUCUUCCUCCAAACCCAUUUUAUGAUUGGGAUUACAGGCAGUUCUUUAGGACUGCUCUCAAAUAAUUGAAAUGUUACUAAACAAGGUUAUACUUAUCAAAUUAAAUAGCUCUGGUCUCCAGUAUAUUGGCGAAUUCGGUUCUUUAUACUUAAUUUAUUAGCAUGAUUUCUUUUUUAUAUGUUGUGUACAGACUUAAUUACUUCUGUCUACUUUUCUUACUCCAUGUAGGUUUCCCAGAGACUAUGGGUUGAGGAGGAAGUGGAAGUUUGUCGGCUUAGACCUAGUGUCAUUCCAUCAGUGUUAACCUUCCCGGCUCAUCUUGGAAGAGUACGUGCCAGAAAGACCACGACCAAGCAGCCUUGAGAUCUUAGGCAGCAUCUCUCUGAGGUCCCUCUCUAUCUCCCCACACAUCCACCAACCACUGGAACACAUCUCCAAAGUUCUGCCGGGCCAGCUCAGCUUCCCCUCAGAAGAAGUGCAACCACCUGCCAGAUGAAGGAGCCUUUUGAGAGGCAGCUGGCAUCGUGAUUGGACUGUACUUUGGUCUGUUCCAAUCCAGCUUCAGCUCCAGAGACGGCAGGCGGGAUGAGUCAACGGAGGCCAGGUGGACGAAGACCAAAGAACUACAGACUCUUCACAACCUGCUCAAACUCUUGGUACAGGACCUCACCACACGGGUCAAGAAGGUUUCCUUCUCAUUUCUACUCUGAAGCUCACCUUCUCCUGCUCAAACUGCUGAUAAAUGUUUCUGCUGCUCUAAAGUCUGGUCUCCAGAACUUCCUAAAAACUCUGAGUCUCUUCUGCUGCAGGUUGCUUUGGAGAACUGUUGCAGAAAACCUCACUAAACCACAUGGAGGGGCCUCAAGAUAGUCGUCCAAAUGAAACCAUACAAAAACCAAACUAGCACAACCCAAAUGCUAAAGUCUCCUGCAGCCUACCAGAGAACCUCUGAGAACAGAGAAUCAGGACAGGAACUCUUACCUUCUGGACAACCAACGCUGGUUCACAAACAAGAAUACAGAAUGUGUCUGACCAAAAAACCUCUGAAGACUCACUACAGCCAAGAUAAAGACACAACUCAGCUGCAACAAAUCCACUAAUCACUGCACACAUUAGCACCAUGUGCUAACUGUGGCUAAAGAACCACAUUUACCAAGACAACUAUCCAGUACAAAGCCCUAAAACACACCAAGAAACACAUUAAAGACGAUUUUACUGCUGGAAGCUGCAAGCCAACGCCAAAAGAACGAACUAAAGCAAUGGGGCCAAACCCGGUUCAGUGGUGAAGAGAAGCAGAGGAAAUGUUUGUCUGCAGCUAAAUAAAGCAGGAAGACACUGAGCUGCUCAGGUGUUCCUGAUAACACCAAGCUGCUCAGGUGUUCCUGAUAAUACCAAGCAGCCACCUGGACAGCCAAUAGGAACAUGGCUUCCUGGGAGUCCAGAGGGCUGGGUUAGUGAAGGAAAUUUAAUUUAAAGUUGAAGCAGAAAGUUAACAAAGAAAGUUGAAAACCACCUUCUGAUACCUGAAAUCUCUGAGUUUUCACACAAAGAACACCUGAACAUGUCAAACUGGUUCCAUAGUAGAACCAUCAUUGUAAAAAUGUCAUAGUAUGGUGUGUUGCUCAAAAAACAUUAGGACCCGACUGUCAGGGGACAAACAUGUAAGAAACAUGAGAACAGAGAGAACCCAACCAGUAGGUCACAGUUUAUCAUCCCCCAGUCAUCUCCUGAAGUCCAUAUGGUGAGAGACAUCAGUAUCUGGUUGUUAAUUUACCAGAGGAUGCUUAUAAUCAUGCUGAUGUGGUCUGUACUCUACAGUAUUUUAGUGACUCAAUAAAUGCCUAAGUUGUUUUUUUUAAAUGUUUUUUAGUUUUUAAUAAACAUUUAACAGCCUAUAUGUAAUCAAUAAAUGGCCUUUGCCUGUCAAGAAAAAUUCAUUCAGAACUCUGAUAUGUUAACAGUACUAAAUAAAUCAAUAAAUACAUGCAUACACACAUAAAUAAGUUAAUACAUUAACUGUGUUAAGAUAAGAUUUAGAUUAAAAAAAAGUUGUUUAUGUUUUUGCAGAAUCCAGUAUUGCUCACUGGUUGGUCAUUACAUUUUAUUAGUUUGAUUUCACUGUUUAAAAUGAUGCCACCUCUUUUCAGACAGAACCUGUGAUAAUAAAACAAUACAAAAUUUUUAGUUCCGUGUUAAUAAAGCACUUAAAGCUUUAAGUAUGGCUAAAUGCUUUUUUCAAAAUUAAAUAUAUCACUCCUUAGGUGGUAGUGGCCCCAAGUUCAGUAAAGUUGGAAAGAUAUUCACAGAUUCAGACUUCCAGCAUCAAUAACUCGUUAGAUAUAGGUUGUCAAAACAUAAACGGUGCCUCUUUCCCAUUGUUGCAAGGCAGACAAUGUGCUACAAGCCCAGUUUUAUCAAAAGUAGCUGUCUUUCAAGCUACAGGAAUAACAUUGGUGUCUAUGGAGUGAACAGGGUCCGUCUGCAAUUUGCAAAACCGCUGCAACAGUAAAGAGAGACAAAUAUUCAAUAACUUCACUCUUAUACAUUGUAGUGUCACUAAAAUCACUGCAGCCUUCAACUGGCUCCUGUUGACAAAGUGUUUUAACAGAAAUGUAAAUGCUGUAAUUUGAUUCUUUUAAUGAACCAUGUAACUUGAAUGGAUGUGAUGCUGGUGUGACCACAGUGCACACGUCUGAUGUUGCUCACAGUGGUCCAAGGGAUGCUCAGGGAGUUUGUGUGUUUGCUCAGACUCAUGAAAAAUUACAGGGAACAUUGGUUAGUGGGAAGCCUGGCAUUGCAGAGCUUAUCAUGUCAGCAACAGUCUUACCUUGACCUUGCAGCUCACAGUUCAGAUGGUUCAGUUUCCCAGUGAUGUCCAUUAAAAAUGAAAGGGCAAGAAUCCACUCAGUGUCCUCAAGCAGCAAGGUGUCUUCCCCUUUGGACUGCAUCAACUCUUUGAUUUCGGCCAACAGUGACAAAAAACGCUGCAAAACUGUUCCCCUGCUGAUCCAUGGGGUUUCUGUGUGUAGUAACAAGUCACCAUGUUCAGCUGACAGCUCCUCCAGCAGCACCUUCAAUGUCCUGGUUGUUUGGCUUUGGAGCCAUUUAUGAUCUUCACGACAGGAGUCAUCACAUGAUCAAAUCCGGCCACUUCUCUACAUACAUAUGUCCUGCUGGUGAAUGAUGCAGUGGUAAUUUAGGAAUGUUGGGAAGUCUGGAUCACCUCUGCAUCGUACGUUGAAGCCUGCAUGCUGACCCGUCAUGGAGGGAGCCCCGUCCGUCGUCACUAAAACAAGCCUUUCUAAUGGUACAUUUUUAUCCGCGAAGAAACUUUUCGCCACGUAGUAGACGUCAAAGCUGCCUUUAAGUCCCGGGCUUUUCCUGUCCAUAGUGCACAUACAGUCUAUGUGUGCUACCAGGUGGCUAGUUAGCAUGGAAGCUUUGUAGCGGCUAAAGUAGCGUCUCUCCACAUCGUGCCGCUUUGCCGAUGCAAUAGUCGCCCCGCAAAUAGGACACAUACAUUUAUCUUUCACUGUCGUGAAAAAGAACUCUUCCUCCAAAUCAUCGUGAAAAUAGUGUUUUCUCUUUCACUUCUCUGCCAUGUUUUGGGGGUAAAAACCACAUCUAGCUUCCCAAAGUGUCUGCGUCCUGAUGCUUCAGCAAAGAGUGACGUGGUGGUUUGACAUGCGCAG